GGGAUCCGAUCUCGCCGCCCGUCGCGAGGCGGACGGAGGGGACGGAUGAGGUUACCUGGAAAAAAUCGGGGCGAUCUAGGCGGGCGAACCUCGCCAACGAACGAUAGGACAUGGGAUAACGGAAGAGGGCAUCGGCUCGACUUCGUCGGUUCCUCGAGCUGAGGCACGUACGGUGAAUAGGGACGGUCGGGGGCCGCCCGUACCGGGUCGCGAGAGGUGAAAUUCUAGGAUCGACCCGAGACGAACCGCCGCGAAAGCAUUCGGCAAGGACGCUUUCAUUAAUCAAGAACGAAAGUCGGGGGAUCGAAGACGAUCAGAUACCGUCGUAGUCCCGACCGUAAACGAUGCCGACCGAGGGCCCGGAGGAGUUACGUACGACCCUCCGGGCCCUCCCGCCGAGAAAUCAGGAGUAUUCGGGUUCCGGGGGGAGGUAUGGUCGCAAGGCCGAACUUAAAGGAAUUGACGGAAGGGCACCACCAGGAGUGGAAUCUGCGGCUUAAUUUGACCCAACGCGGGAAAACUCACCAGGUCA
Molecule: ribosomal RNA, 532 nt
Filed under: uncultured eukaryote
Lineage: Eukaryota
Description: bacterial SSU rRNA
Rfam family: Eukaryotic small subunit ribosomal RNA
Source: RNAcentral